CUUUUGGAAGAGUCUUGUCUGAACUUUUCCUUUAACAAUGUAUUGUUGGGAAUGUGCAGGAGUUAGGGAUAAUAGAGGCUCUGGAGAUCUCCUGGAGUCAGAGGCUGGAUGCAGCUUGGGACCCUCUACAGUUGGAUUCUCUCCGCUCUAGUUUCUCCUUUCCAUGUUUUUCUUUUCUUGGUGUCAUCUUGUUUAUUUUUAUCUUUUUUUUGUAUAAUUUUGUUCAUUAAUGAAUUUUUUUCUUUAAUUUUUUAUUCUCUCUUAUGUGUUUAUGUUUACUAAUAUGUGUUUAUCUUUUUUAUCAUGACAAACCGGGGAGAAAAU
RNAcentral lists this long non-coding RNA (324 nucleotides) under Lathyrus oleraceus (garden pea). RNAcentral's name for it is "Pisum sativum (pea) long non-coding RNA (PSAT_LNC007322)". The record is from RNAcentral. Lineage: Eukaryota; Viridiplantae; Streptophyta; Magnoliopsida; Fabales; Fabaceae.